Molecule: non-coding RNA, 433 nt
Organism: Cinara cedri
Lineage: Eukaryota; Metazoa; Arthropoda; Insecta; Hemiptera; Aphididae
Source: the annotation of a GenBank genome assembly
UAGAUCUAGUUGGUGAGUAAGAAAGUCGUUUUUCAACAUUAUACACCCCAUAUAGGGAAACUUAAUUCUAGUAACGAAGCUCUGCUGCUCUUGGGUUUUUUUUUCGCAUGUAGGCAUCAGGUGAAAUCGUUCACGAUUUAUUUUUACAGACACACAGAGCUUUGGGUUUUGUCGUUGUCGACCCGGAAACGAGUGCCAUCGUCGUCGUUGAAAACACCGUCGCCGACUUUAAAUUCCGUAAACACUGCGGGAAUUACCAGAGCUUACAAUGACGAGAGUCUGCAACGAUGUUUUUCCGCUCGAUUUAUUUUUCGACUUUCGAAUAAUAACAUUAGAGUUCGGCAACCGACCUAAAACACGCGUAUACGUAUAUUAUUAUAUUAACACGUUUCGGUAAAUUGGAAUUGUUUAAGGAAAUUCUCAUUCCGUACGU